This 556-nucleotide small RNA is filed under the name Pan troglodytes (chimpanzee). RNAcentral describes it as "processed transcript". The record is from RNAcentral. Lineage: Eukaryota; Metazoa; Chordata; Mammalia; Primates; Hominidae.
AUCUGGGCACCCCACCUUUCACAGUCACGGAGCGUAGGUUCGACUUUCCCCAUGCAUAGGGGCGCUGGCCAGCGGAAGGUUGAGGCAGAGAAGAAUUUUUGCCUCCCAUGGAGGAGCACAUAUUGGCUGGCUUAUAAGAUCAUUCAGGAAGCAGGUUGGGCCCGAAGGCAUCCUGCAGAACGGGGCUGUGGACGACAGUGUAGCCAAGACCAGCCAGUUGUUGGCUGAGUUGAACUUCGAGGAAGAUGAAGAAGACACCUAUUACACGAAGGACCUCCCCAUACACGCCUGCAGUUACUGUGGAAUACACGAUCCUGCCUGCGUGGUUUACUGUAAUACCAGCAAGAAGUGGUUCUGCAACGGACGUGGAAAUACUUCUGGCAGCCACAUUGUAAAUCACCUUGUGAGGGCAAAAUGCAAAGAGGUGACCCUGCACAAGGACGGGCCCCUGGGGGAGACAGUCCUGGAGUGCUACAACUGCGGCUGUCGCAACGUCUUCCUCCUCGGCUUCAUCCCGGCCAAAGCUGACUCAGUGGUGGUGCUGCUGUGUAGGCAG